Molecule: ribosomal RNA, 485 nt
Filed under: uncultured bacterium
Lineage: Bacteria
Description: partial 16S ribosomal RNA
Rfam family: Bacterial small subunit ribosomal RNA
Source: RNAcentral
GAUGAACGCUAGCGGCAGGCCUAAUACAUGCAAGUCGAACGGUGUCUUUGGACAUAGUGGCGCACGGGUGCGUAACACGUAUGCAACCUACCUUACAUUGGGGGAUAGCCUUUCGAAAGGGAGAUUAAUACCGCAUAAGACAGUAGCUGGGCAUCCAGCAGCUGUUAAAGAUUUAUCGAUGUAAGAUGGGCAUGCGUCCAAUUAGUUAGUUGGCGAGGUAACGGCUCACCAAGACUUUGAUUGGUAGGGGAACUGAGAGGUCAAUCCCCCACACUGGCACGGAGAUACGGGCCAGACUCCUACGGGAGGCAGCAGUAGGGAAUAUUGGGCAAUGGACGCAAGUCUGACCCAGCCAUGCCGCGUGCAGGAUGAAGGCGUUAUGCGUUGUAAACUGCUUUUAUACAGGAAGAAACGACUCUUGCGAGAGGCAUUGACGGUACUGUAUGAAUAAGCACCGGCUAACUCCGUGCCAGCAGCCGCAGUAA